Molecule: non-coding RNA, 21 nt
Filed under: Caenorhabditis elegans
Lineage: Eukaryota; Metazoa; Nematoda; Chromadorea; Rhabditida; Rhabditidae
Source: RNAcentral
UCAAAUUAUAUGCUUAUAAAC